GAGAGUUAAGUAUGAAUCAUUCAAAACUCAAGAACAAAGUAUUCGAUGUGUAUAAGGUUUGAUUUUGUCCCUCAACUCAAUGUCUCUGUUCGCCACUGGUUUCACCGGCUGCUUUCGGGCGUUGUUUGUCGGGAUUUCCUUUGUUUUGAUGCUAUUCGAAACCGUGACUUUCAUGAUCGGGUUCAUAUUGUUGCCUUUGGUCAUAAUUCUGGUUUUGCUUUUCUACUUUGUGGGUAUGCUUUUGAAUUUGUCUGAAUUUGGUCGGGCCAUCCUCUGGCCUGCCUCUGUUGCCAUUGAGGUUGCUCCAGGUAAAGGGAAAUUAUUUUCUCCAAGUUUCUUCUUUUUACGAAUUUGUAAAAUCUGUAGAUAACCUUUUAUGUUCAUAUUGAUGUUUGAUGAAUGCUUGCUUGCUUGCUAUAUGUUGUUUGGUACCGUAAAUUUAUGCUGUUGAAAUGGAUGAAACUCCCCACCCCAAAUUGUACCAGAGAAAAUUGAAUUAGUUCUUAAAUGUAAUGCAAGAAGCGAAAAUCACUGAAACCAUUUAACAACUCCGAUUCUAGAAUCUCAGUAAGUAAAUAAAAUUGCACCUGCAUUAAUCGAAGAGAAUGGUUUGGAACCUCCAUGUAGAGCACACGAGAUAACUUAUACUUGGUUUGAGAGUAACUCCUGGAAUUACCUAUCAGUUCCUUUAAGGCAAGCUUUGUGCUAGGUCGGUAUUCACAAUUUCAUUUUCGGACUUUAGCAAAUAUAUUUCGCGGUCUGCUUCUAGAUGCAUCUGAGCGUCCAAGCUCUUAUCUGCCUUGUUACGCUAACUAACCUGAGCUCCAAACUCUAGAACAGUCUCAGGGGAACAAGACAAGAUUUAGCUUGAUAGUAUUUGAUGUCUGACGUUAGCUUGGUGGUAGGUCCAAGCUGAAUUUAUCAUGGGGGCUGCUACAUAUACAGCUCAAUGUACAGCCUCAUUACAUGGGGGGAGGGGCCUGCACGUUAAUUGGGUGUGAGCCCCUCCCAUCAUGUGAGGGGAGUGUACACCUAGUUGUAAGACUCAGUGUAUAAGGGGCUUUAUUCAUUUGUCAUUUACAAGGGUUUGUGUUUGGUUUAUUUAAAUGAGAUAGCUUGCCAGGCUAGGCUCGGAAGUCCAAUGAUACCACGUUGGAUGCUUACCAUGUUAGGCUUCUGAUCUAAAUAGAGAUGAAUUGAUACUAGAAUCAUAUUUGACUUGAGCUGUGUCUGUAAUGACAUUUUUCACACUACAGAUUUUUCCUUUUUCUUGUUUCUUCUUUUCCGCUUCUUUCUCCAACAUAGUUAUUACAGUUGUACCUUUUACACCAUUGAAUUUUCCUCCCUUGGCAUGUCAUGAAAUUCUCUGGUUAAUUUUCAUGAUUUCAUUCGUAUGAACACUUGUAACUUUCCAUCACUUGCAAUUUGAUAUGCUCGGAGUGGGGCAGUGUUUUUACUUCACUUUUACAUGUCAUGAGCAGAAAGUUGAUGUACUGUUGCUAUUACGCGCUUUCUUGUUUGGCCAUCGCUAGAUUUUGGCCAGAUGUUCAUCGUUCUAAAGAUGAUUCAUGCGUCCAGUUUGAAUACAGCUGAAUGUAUAUUAUCAUUUUCUUACUAUAGUUGCAUCUGUGACAUUUUUCCACAGCUUUGCCUUUAUGCUUCAACCUUGUCCCUCUGUAAAUUUUGUUUGUGUUCAUCAUAGUUACCGGAAGUAAUUAAAUCUGUAGAAGUUUUUGUUGCCUUAUAAAUUCUCCAACUAUACAUCCAAGUACCUUCACUUGAUAAGUAACAUUGAACAGGAAUGUCGAAAACGAAUGAGUGAACGAUAUAACGACUAAAAUUUCAACUUCUUUUUCUUUUUAGCCUCUAUUUUUGCUCCAUUUUCUAGAAAAUGCAUUUUUCUUUCACUUGUUUUUCAC
RNAcentral lists this long non-coding RNA (1919 nucleotides) under Olea europaea (common olive). RNAcentral's name for it is "long non-coding RNA (OEUR_LNC006812)". Lineage: Eukaryota; Viridiplantae; Streptophyta; Magnoliopsida; Lamiales; Oleaceae. The record is from RNAcentral.